RNAcentral lists this ribosomal RNA (229 nucleotides) under uncultured bacterium. RNAcentral describes it as "partial 16S ribosomal RNA". It matches the Rfam family "Bacterial small subunit ribosomal RNA", at positions 568 to 796 of the family's 1533-position model. The record is from RNAcentral.
AGCGCAGGCUGCCAGAUAAGUCAGAUGUGAAAGCCCGGGGCUCAACCCCGGAAGUGCAUUUGAAACUGUUUGGCUUGAGUAUGGUAGAGGGAAGUGGAAUUCCAGGUGUAGCGGUGAAAUGCGUAGAUAUCUGGAGGAACACCGGUGGCGAAGGCGACUUCCUGGACCAAUACUGACGCUGAGGCUCGAAGGUGUGGGUAGCAAACAGGAUUAGAUACACUGGUAGUCC